UAAGGAAUAUUGGUCAAUGGACGCAAGUCUGAACCAGCCAUGCCGCGUGAAGGAUGAAGGUCCUCUGGAUUGUAAACUUCUUUUAUCUGGGACGAAAACGGGAUUUUUAUCUCAAUUGACGGUACCAGAGGAAUAAGCACCGGCUAACUCCGUGCCAGCAGCCGCGGUAAUACGGAGGGUGCGAGCGUUAUCCGGAUUUACUGGGUUUAAAGGGUGCGUAGGUGGGCUUAUAAGUCAGUGGUGAAAUCUCCGAGCUUAACUUGGAAACUGCCGUUGAUACUAUAGGUCUUGAAUUAUCUGGAGGUAAGCGGUAUAUGUCAUGUAGCGGUGAAAUGCUUAGAUAUGACAUAGAACACCAAUUGCGAAGGCAGCUUACUACAUAUAAAUUGACGCUGAGGCACGAAAGCGUGGGGAUCAAACA
Molecule: ribosomal RNA, 421 nt
Filed under: uncultured bacterium
Lineage: Bacteria
Description: bacterial SSU rRNA
Rfam family: Bacterial small subunit ribosomal RNA
Source: RNAcentral